AAUAUGGUACAUUGGUCGAAAGCCUGAUCCAGCAUUGCCUCGUGUUUUAAGAUGGUCUUAGGUUUGAAAAGCACUUUAAGGUGGGAGGUAGGGCAGUAAGUUAAGACCUUGCUGUUUGUUCGAUACCGACAGAAGAUGCACCGGCUAACUUCGUGUCAGCAGCAGCGGUAAUUCGAAGGGUGCAAGCGUUAAUCGGAAUUACUGGGCGUAAAGCGAGCGUAGGUGGUUCGUUAAGUUGGAUGUAGAAGCCCCGGGCUCAACCUGGGACCUGCAUACAAAAUUGGCGAGCUAGAGUACGGUAGAGGGUGGUGUAAUUUCCUGUGUAGCGGUGAAAUGAGUAGAUAUAGGAAGGAACACCAGUGGCGAAGGCGACCACCUGGACUGAUACUGACACUGAGGUGCGAAAGCGUGGGGAGCAAACAGG
This 424-nucleotide ribosomal RNA is filed under the name uncultured bacterium. RNAcentral describes it as "partial 16S ribosomal RNA". It matches the Rfam family "Bacterial small subunit ribosomal RNA", at positions 360 to 776 of the family's 1533-position model. The record is from RNAcentral.